RNAcentral lists this ribosomal RNA (2902 nucleotides) under Escherichia coli. RNAcentral describes it as "bacterial LSU rRNA". It matches the Rfam family "Bacterial large subunit ribosomal RNA". Lineage: Bacteria; Pseudomonadati; Pseudomonadota; Gammaproteobacteria; Enterobacterales; Enterobacteriaceae. The record is from RNAcentral.
UUAAGCGACUAAGCGUACACGGUGGAUGCCCUGGCAGUCAGAGGCGAUGAAGGACGUGCUAAUCUGCGAUAAGCGUCGGUAAGGUGAUAUGAACCGUUAUAACCGGCGAUUUCCGAAUGGGGAAACCCAGUGUGAUUCGUCACACUAUCAUUAACUGAAUCCAUAGGUUAAUGAGGCGAACCGGGGGAACUGAAACAUCUAAGUACCCCGAGGAAAAGAAAUCAACCGAGAUUCCCCCAGUAGCGGCGAGCGAACGGGGAGGAGCCCAGAGCCUGAAUCAGUGUGUGUGUUAGUGGAAGCGUCUGGAAAGGCGCGCGAUACAGGGUGACAGCCCCGUACACAAAAAUGCACAUGCUGUGAGCUCGAUGAGUAGGGCGGGACACGUGGUAUCCUGUCUGAAUAUGGGGGGACCAUCCUCCAAGGCUAAAUACUCCUGACUGACCGAUAGUGAACCAGUACCGUGAGGGAAAGGCGAAAAGAACCCCGGCGAGGGGAGUGAAAAAGAACCUGAAACCGUGUACGUACAAGCAGUGGGAGCACGCUUAGGCGUGUGACUGCGUACCUUUUGUAUAAUGGGUCAGCGACUUAUAUUCUGUAGCAAGGUUAACCGAAUAGGGGAGCCGAAGGGAAACCGAGUCUUAACUGGGCGUUAAGUUGCAGGGUAUAGACCCGAAACCCGGUGAUCUAGCCAUGGGCAGGUUGAAGGUUGGGUAACACUAACUGGAGGACCGAACCGACUAAUGUUGAAAAAUUAGCGGAUGACUUGUGGCUGGGGGUGAAAGGCCAAUCAAACCGGGAGAUAGCUGGUUCUCCCCGAAAGCUAUUUAGGUAGCGCCUCGUGAAUUCAUCUCCGGGGGUAGAGCACUGUUUCGGCAAGGGGGUCAUCCCGACUUACCAACCCGAUGCAAACUGCGAAUACCGGAGAAUGUUAUCACGGGAGACACACGGCGGGUGCUAACGUCCGUCGUGAAGAGGGAAACAACCCAGACCGCCAGCUAAGGUCCCAAAGUCAUGGUUAAGUGGGAAACGAUGUGGGAAGGCCCAGACAGCCAGGAUGUUGGCUUAGAAGCAGCCAUCAUUUAAAGAAAGCGUAAUAGCUCACUGGUCGAGUCGGCCUGCGCGGAAGAUGUAACGGGGCUAAACCAUGCACCGAAGCUGCGGCAGCGACGCUUAUGCGUUGUUGGGUAGGGGAGCGUUCUGUAAGCCUGCGAAGGUGUGCUGUGAGGCAUGCUGGAGGUAUCAGAAGUGCGAAUGCUGACAUAAGUAACGAUAAAGCGGGUGAAAAGCCCGCUCGCCGGAAGACCAAGGGUUCCUGUCCAACGUUAAUCGGGGCAGGGUGAGUCGACCCCUAAGGCGAGGCCGAAAGGCGUAGUCGAUGGGAAACAGGUUAAUAUUCCUGUACUUGGUGUUACUGCGAAGGGGGGACGGAGAAGGCUAUGUUGGCCGGGCGACGGUUGUCCCGGUUUAAGCGUGUAGGCUGGUUUUCCAGGCAAAUCCGGAAAAUCAAGGCUGAGGCGUGAUGACGAGGCACUACGGUGCUGAAGCAACAAAUGCCAUGCUUCCAGGAAAAGCCUCUAAGCAUCAGGUAACAUCAAAUCGUACCCCAAACCGACACAGGUGGUCAGGUAGAGAAUACCAAGGCGCUUGAGAGAACUCGGGUGAAGGAACUAGGCAAAAUGGUGCCGUAACUUCGGGAGAAGGCACGCUGAUAUGUAGGUGAAGCGACUUGCUCGUGGAGCUGAAAUCAGUCGAAGAUACCAGCUGGCUGCAACUGUUUAUUAAAAACACAGCACUGUGCAAACACGAAAGUGGACGUAUACGGUGUGACGCCUGCCCGGUGCCGGAAGGUUAAUUGAUGGGGUCAGCGCAAGCGAAGCUCUUGAUCGAAGCCCCGGUAAACGGCGGCCGUAACUAUAACGGUCCUAAGGUAGCGAAAUUCCUUGUCGGGUAAGUUCCGACCUGCACGAAUGGCGUAAUGAUGGCCAGGCUGUCUCCACCCGAGACUCAGUGAAAUUGAACUCGCUGUGAAGAUGCAGUGUACCCGCGGCAAGACGGAAAGACCCCGUGAACCUUUACUAUAGCUUGACACUGAACAUUGAGCCUUGAUGUGUAGGAUAGGUGGGAGGCUUUGAAGUGUGGACGCCAGUCUGCAUGGAGCCGACCUUGAAAUACCACCCUUUAAUGUUUGAUGUUCUAACGUUGACCCGUAAUCCGGGUUGCGGACAGUGUCUGGUGGGUAGUUUGACUGGGGCGGUCUCCUCCUAAAGAGUAACGGAGGAGCACGAAGGUUGGCUAAUCCUGGUCGGACAUCAGGAGGUUAGUGCAAUGGCAUAAGCCAGCUUGACUGCGAGCGUGACGGCGCGAGCAGGUGCGAAAGCAGGUCAUAGUGAUCCGGUGGUUCUGAAUGGAAGGGCCAUCGCUCAACGGAUAAAAGGUACUCCGGGGAUAACAGGCUGAUACCGCCCAAGAGUUCAUAUCGACGGCGGUGUUUGGCACCUCGAUGUCGGCUCAUCACAUCCUGGGGCUGAAGUAGGUCCCAAGGGUAUGGCUGUUCGCCAUUUAAAGUGGUACGCGAGCUGGGUUUAGAACGUCGUGAGACAGUUCGGUCCCUAUCUGCCGUGGGCGCUGGAGAACUGAGGGGGGCUGCUCCUAGUACGAGAGGACCGGAGUGGACGCAUCACUGGUGUUCGGGUUGUCAUGCCAAUGGCACUGCCCGGUAGCUAAAUGCGGAAGAGAUAAGUGCUGAAAGCAUCUAAGCACGAAACUUGCCCCGAGAUGAGUUCUCCCUGACUCCUUGAGAGUCCUGAAGGAACGUUGAAGACGACGACGUUGAUAGGCCGGGUGUGUAAGCGCAGUGAUGCGUUGAGCUAACCGGUACUAAUGAACCGUGAGGCUUAACCUU